RNAcentral lists this transfer RNA (75 nucleotides) under Zetaproteobacteria bacterium CG1_02_49_23. RNAcentral's name for it is "tRNA-Gly". It matches the Rfam family "tRNA". From Rfam's summary of the family: Transfer RNA (tRNA) molecules are approximately 80 nucleotides in length. Their secondary structure includes four short double-helical elements and three loops (D, anti-codon, and T loops). RNAcentral also lists the same sequence under 4 other names. Lineage: Bacteria; Pseudomonadati; Pseudomonadota; Candidatius Mariprofundia. The record is from RNAcentral.
GCGGAUAUCGUAUAAUGGCUAUUACCCGAGCUUCCCAAGCUCGUGAUGCGGGUUCGAUUCCCGCUAUCCGCUCCA